GAUGAACGCUGGCGGCGUGCCUAAUACAUGCAAGUCGAGCGAACAGACGAGGAGCUUGUUCCUCUGACGUUAGCGGCGGACGGGUGAGUAACACGUGGAUAACCUACCUAUAAGACUGGGAUAACUUCGGGAAACCGGAGCUAAUACCGGAUCAUAUAUUUAACCGCAUGGUUCAAUAGUGAAAGACGCUUUUGCUGUCACUUAUAGAUGGAUCCGCGCCGGCUUAGCUAGUUGGUAAGGUAACGGCUUACCAAGGCAACGAUGCGUAGCCGGGCUGAGAGGGUGAUCGGCCACACUGGAACUGAGACACGGUCCAGACUCCUACGGGAGGCAGCAGUAGGGAAUCUUCGACAAUGGGCGAAAGCCUGACGGAGCAACGCCGCGUGAGUGAUGAAGGUCUUCGGAUCGUAAAACUCUGUUAUUAGGGAAGAAAAGAUGUGUGAUUAACCAUGCACGUCUUGACGGUACCUAAUCAGAAAGCCACGGCUAACUUCGUG
This 497-nucleotide ribosomal RNA is filed under the name uncultured bacterium. Its description in RNAcentral is "partial 16S ribosomal RNA". It matches the Rfam family "Bacterial small subunit ribosomal RNA", at positions 28 to 507 of the family's 1533-position model. The record is from RNAcentral.